GAUGAACGCUGGCGGCGUGCCUAAUACAUGCAAGUCGAGCGGUAAGGCCUCUUCGGAGGUACACGAGCGGCGGACGGCUGAGUAACGCGUAGGAACAUACCCCAAGUGAGGGAUAACUGCUCGAAAGAGUAGCUAAUACCGCAUGUGAUCUAAGGAUUAAAGCUUCGGCGCUUUGGGAAUGGCCUGCGUAUGAUUAGUUUGUUGGUGAGGUAAUGGCUCACCAAGACUACGAUCAUUAGCUGGUCUGAGAGGAUGAUCAGCCAGACUGGGACUGAGACACGGCCCAGACUCCUACGGGAGGCAGCAGUAGGGAAUUUUCCACAAUGGGCGAAAGCCUGAUGGAGCAACGCCGCGUGCAGGAUGAAGGCCCUCGGGUCGUAAACUGCUUUUAUAGUGUGAAGAUUAUGACGGUAGCAUAUGAAUAAGGAUCGGCUAACUCCGUGCCAGCCGCC
RNAcentral lists this ribosomal RNA (452 nucleotides) under uncultured bacterium. RNAcentral's name for it is "bacterial SSU rRNA". It matches the Rfam family "Bacterial small subunit ribosomal RNA", at positions 28 to 516 of the family's 1533-position model. The record is from RNAcentral.